GCCCUCCGCCCGCCCCCCGUGCAUCCCCGCACCCACACGGGAGCGCCACCGCUCCGGGACGCGAGCCGGCAGCGGCAACGUGGCAGGCUGCCAGCGGCUUGAGCUCCUACUCCUUUCUACAAGAGGCAUGAAUAAUAUGCUACCUUGGAAGCGAAGUAUCCAGAUAGUCAAAAAAAGGAAUACACACACACACACACACACACACACACGGAAAGGGAACAGGUUUUGAAUCAAAGCUGAGUAUUAAUCUCAGUUUUACCACUACCAGUUGUGUAACUUCAGGGAAGUUACUUAUUAGCUUGACUCCCAAGUUCAUCAGCUGUGAAAUGAGACAAACACCUGUCUCAGAAAGCUGAUGCCAAGCUAAAGUUCAAUUGUGUAUAUAACAUGUGGCCCAAACCACACUCAUAGCAGACAUUGGGCCGCUGGUUUUCCUCUCCUUUUGUAAAGAGCGGGUCAGAACAAGGGCGUAAGUGAGAACAACAGGAGGAAGCUGGCUUCUGGACUUGGACGUGAUGAGAAGGUCAGUAGAGAUGGAGACGGGGGCAGCAGGGAGCAAAGGGCACCUGGGGCCAGGUAAUGGCAUCUGUUUCACGAAUGUGAGAUCGGUUCUGCUGCAGGGCAUAUGGUGGCCACAAGGUGACAUUUAUUUGCAAUGCUGACUGGCUGGCGAGAACAUGAAUUUAGAAGCUGCCUUCCACAAAGAGCCACACCUCACCCCUCCCAGGGCUCUCCCUUGCUUGGGAGUCCAGCUGGGGCAAUGAGGUGUUGGGGUGCAUGUCAACAGUUGUGCUACCACGUCACCUGCAAGAGGGUGGGAGCAGGUGAAACUAUGACCAGAUGGCAGGCAGGCAAGCCAGGAGAAGAUACCAAGUGAGAUUUCCAACUUGCUGAAGCCCAGUGAUGGCAGCCAGGUUCCACUGACCCACAGGCCAGGUGAGUGGGGCUGGAGACCUCCCUACUGAGUUAUCAAGGACUGGCCCCACCCCAAACUGUGUAGCCGAAGAUGGUUUCCUUUUCCGAUGCAUCAGCACCUUCACACUUAGGGAUCCUCCCUUAUCUCCCACGGAAGAGCCAGCCAUCAUUGGCUAGCGAAGCAGGAACUAAGCAAUUUCACGAUCACUCAGGUGAAUGAGCCACACAGAGAGGGCUAAAAAUGGUAGGAGGGGAGGGGCUCUAGAGCAGGCUGCUGCAGACUGUAUUUUCACCAUGAGAAGACUUCUGAAACUCAGAAGACCAUUAAGCAGAAGGCAGACCCUCUAGAAAUUCCCUUCUGUAACUGCUGCCGAUAAAAACAAGCUUAACCUGAAUAAUAAAAAGGGAGGAGGUAUUUUUAGUAAUAAACAGUAACAGCUAACACAACAGUGACAUUAUUUAGAAAUGUUAAUAGGUCAAGACUUCGGCUCUUCUGUUCCCCCCGAAAAGGCCUAUCUGGAACCCCAGCGGUGGGUACAGCACGGUCUGGAGGCCACACAUCUGACAGCGUUCGUUGCUACAGUGUUACUGGGCUGCGACUCGGGUACUUUUGCUUUUACAAAAUUUCAAAAUGCAGAACGGAGAACCGAUAAUGGUACACGAUAAUCAUGUACAUGGUUUAUUGUGCUUUUUUCUCUUAUGCAGUUGCAGUGAAUUAAGGGCCGUUGUUUUCUAUUUGAUAAUCAAAAUGAACAACCUUGGGAUCAUUUAUUCCAUGUAUUAUCUGUAAUAAAUGUUUUAAAUUCCAGUUGACCUUUCCCUAACCCCCUCCUAUAGGGCUUUUUCUUCCUCCUUUAUUUAUUUUUUUUUAACAUUUAUUUAUUUUUGAGAAAGAGAGACAGAGCACGAGCAAGGGAGGGGCAGAAAUAGAGGGAGACACAGAAUCCGAAGCAGGUUCCAGGCUCUGGGCUGUCAGUACAGAAUCUGACGCAAGGCUCAAACCCAGGAACCGUGAGAUCAUGACCUGAGCUGAAGUCAAUGCUUAAACGACUGAGCCAUCCAGGCGCCCCUUCUUCCUUCCUAUGAUGAGCCGUGUGCACAAGGAAUGUGACAUAAUUGUAAUACCAGUGUGAGCAAAACCAUAAAGGAAGGUAUAUAAAAGCAUCAUACCAUGUUUCCCAAAGCCAAGGGAAAUGAUUUUAGUGUAUACACAUUGCUGAUUAUACUCCCAUCCGUACAGAUAAUUAAAAGUUGACUAUAUGAUAAUAUUAAACGGCAGGCACAACUUUUUGAAAAUUUCUCCCUGGUAUUAGCAAUGCAAAAACACCGACUUGAAUGUUCAACGCUAAUCAAAUUCAUCUCUUCUUAAGAGCAGUGUAUAAUAAAUGGGUAGCCUAAAAGGAAUGCUUUGAACAGAAUGCUUCACUAUUGUCUGAUUAUUCUAAAUUUAAAACUCCCAACAAAGGAAAGGAUUAUUCUUCUUGAGGUUCGAGAUUCACGAGGAUUUGGUAAUGAAAUUCCUUUAGGAGAGCAAAUAAAAAAAUUGCUAUCUACAA
This is a long non-coding RNA of Neofelis nebulosa (Clouded leopard), 2471 nucleotides long. RefSeq lists it as uncharacterized. The record is from RefSeq and is a predicted model, not a curated record. The transcript is spliced from 2 exons. Lineage: Eukaryota; Metazoa; Chordata; Mammalia; Carnivora; Felidae.